AGUGAACGCUGGCGGUAGGCCUAACACAUGCAAGUCGAACGGCAGCACAGUAAGAGCUUGCUCUUACGGUUGGCGAGUGGCGGACGGGUGAGGAAUACAUCGGAAUCUACUUUUUCGUGGGGGAUAACGUAGGGAAACUUACGCUAAUACCGCAUACGACCUACGGGUGAAAGCAGGAGAUCUUCGGACCUUGCGCGAUUGAAUGAGCCGAUGUCGGAUUAGCUAGUUGGCGGGGUAAAGGCCCACCAAGGCGACGAUCCGUAGCUGGUCUGAGAGGAUGAUCAGCCACACUGGAACUGAGACACGGUCCAGACUCCUACGGGAGGCAGCAGUGGGGAAUAUUGGACAAUGGGCGCAAGCCUGAUCCAGCCAUACCGCGUGGGUGAAGAAGGCCUUCGGGUUGUAAAGCCCUUUUGUUGGGAAAGAAAAGCAGCAGGUUAAUACCCCGCUGUUCUGACGGUACCCAAAGAAUAAGCACCGGCUAACUUCGUG
This 492-nucleotide ribosomal RNA is filed under the name uncultured bacterium. Its description in RNAcentral is "partial 16S ribosomal RNA". It matches the Rfam family "Bacterial small subunit ribosomal RNA", at positions 29 to 507 of the family's 1533-position model. The record is from RNAcentral.